Long non-coding RNA from Carya illinoinensis, 1471 nucleotides. RefSeq lists it as uncharacterized. Lineage: Eukaryota; Viridiplantae; Streptophyta; Magnoliopsida; Fagales; Juglandaceae. The transcript is spliced from 3 exons. The record is from RefSeq and is a predicted model, not a curated record.
ACGUGUAGACCGGGUUCACAAAAACACUGAACCGGUUCUAACCUCAGUCUCCCCUCUCCCCGCGCCCUCAAUCCCCUCUCAAAAUCGUAAGCGUUCUUCGACGAAAGUCCCAAAUUGCUUCUCUGUGAAAUCCUCAAUUCCCUCACGUUUUGUAUCCCUUUCAACUUCUUCAAUGUGAAUCCCUCAAGUUUCCUCAUAAAACAAUGUUACCUUCUUCUUCUCUAUGAAUCGCAAAAAACCCCCAACCUGAUUUUGAAAACCCCAAAUUCUGUCUUCUGCUUCUCAAUCGUAGAAUAUGAUUUUGAUUUUGAGACCUUUUUCUUCUUCUUCUUCUCUGUGAUUUCUCUCAGUCCCCCACGUGCAUUUUGAUUUCCCCCCCUCCCCCAUUUGCUUACACUGUGAUUUUUCGCCGAUGUGAUUUCUCCCAUCUCAAUCCCACGACCUUUCAUCUCUGUCCUGCGAUGGUGUGAGUCCGAUCCUCCCCUCCACUCUUCAGCAACCUUCAUCCCUCUUCUCUUCGAAAUCUUCAUCUCUUCAUCCCUCUUCUCUUUGAAACCUUCAUCUCCCCCUCUUCUCUUCAACGACCUUCAUCUCCCCCUCAUCUCUAUAGCUCACCCUCCAUUCCUUUGCAUUUCCCCCAAAAUGAAAUGUUACAUGGCCUCAGAGAAGGAGAUUGGAGAAGAUAAAGGUGGAGACUUUGGGGGAUUCUGGAAGAGAGAGGUCGAAGGUGAGAGAGAAGAAGUGAAGUAGAUGAGAAGUUAGGUAGGGCUCCAUUACACCAUUUACGGAUUUGUUCCCAACAGAAAUCUAACAUGUAACAUCUACUCUCAGCGACCUGCGAUAGAGAUCUUGAAGGGCAUCGCAGGGUGGAUCUAUGGAAGAGAUUUGCCGGUCAUGCAGUAAGGGCAGCACACUAGCAUUUGGAAGGUAGAACACGUCCCUACGUCCAGAUCUGCAUCUGCCAUGGGAUAGGAAUGGAAUGGAAGUUUUGAUGCAAACAAGAAAAUGAGAGCAAACUAAUAGUGUGGGGAGUGUCAAGAAGACUGCUCUACAAGCUAAUCUAUGUUCUUUCUGCUUUACAAGAAUUGCAUGUAUUACAAGAAGACUGCUAUACAAGCUACACAAGCUCUGCAAGAAUUGCAUGUAUUACAAGAAGACUACUAUACAAGCUACACAAGCUCUGCAAGAAUUGCAUGUAUUACAAGAAGACUCAUCAAAAGAAUUUCAUGUUUUCUGCAAUGUUCUUUCCAGCUCUACAAAACUCGGGAGGAGAAUUGCAUAUAUUACAAGAAGACUCCUCAAAGAAUUGCAUGCCCUGCCCUUGGAUUAUACCCUUGAGGAUGCUUAACAUAUGACUGUUGCCUUUGAUUUUUAUCUGAUCUGAAUCCAAGGUUACUUUUGUAAUAGAAAUCUAAACUUACCUUCUUGUUCUUGUUUCUUUGGUUAACCAAUGACUUGGGGAGAUCGUUAA